This 307-nucleotide signal recognition particle RNA is filed under the name Macaca mulatta (Rhesus monkey). Its description in RNAcentral is "Metazoan signal recognition particle RNA (ENSMMUG00000060153.1)". It matches the Rfam family "Metazoan signal recognition particle RNA". From Rfam's summary of the family: The signal recognition particle (SRP) is a universally conserved ribonucleoprotein. It is involved in the co-translational targeting of proteins to membranes. The eukaryotic SRP consists of a 300-nucleotide 7S RNA and six proteins: SRPs 72, 68, 54, 19, 14, and 9. Lineage: Eukaryota; Metazoa; Chordata; Mammalia; Primates; Cercopithecidae. The record is from Rfam by way of RNAcentral.
GCCGGGCGAGGUGGCGGGCGCCUGUAGUCCCAGCUACUCGGGAGGCUGAGGCAGGAGAAUGGCGUAAACCCGGGAGGCGGAGCUUGCAGUGAGCUGAGAUCCGGCCACUAUGCUCCAGCAUGGGGGACAGAGCGAGACUCCAUCUCAAAAAAAAAAAAAAAAGAUGCAUUCUUUUGUUUUUUUUGUUUUUGUUUUUUUUUUUUUUUGAGACGGAGUCUCGCUCUGUCGCCCAGGCUGGAGUGCAGUGGCGUGAUCUCGGCUCACUGCAAGCUCCGCCUCCCGGGUUUACGCCAUUCUCCUGCCUCAG